Molecule: long non-coding RNA, 1586 nt
Organism: Gigantopelta aegis
Lineage: Eukaryota; Metazoa; Mollusca; Gastropoda; Neomphalida; Peltospiridae
Exons: 4
Source: RefSeq, a predicted model, not a curated record
AGUAAGUUUAAUGGACACAGUAAAAAUUAAAUUAGAUACAUUGCAAGUUUUGAGCACAUUGAUUUAUUAAUCAUCUAUAUGAUGUCAAACAUUUUCCGACAGUCUUUGGAAAAAAUCUGCUACAUACAAGGUUCAAGCACGUCCAUCCUGGGCACAAGUUCUGACUUGCACCAAUCUCCUGUCCAGGACAGAAGCAGCAAAGGAUCUUUUAUAUGCACCAUCCCAUAGACAGGACAGCACAUCCCACAACCUUUGAUAUACCAGCCAUGGGGCAGUGGAUGGAAUGGAGGGAAAACAAUGAUCAAAAUAUGAUUCCACCAAGGGAAUUUGAUCCUGUGACCAAAGCAUCUCAGGAAAUGUCAAAGAAAAAGGUCAAGAACAUUAGGCAAAGAGCCAGAAGACGGAGAUUGCGAAAUAAUACAGAGAUAAUUUCAAGUUGUACUCAAGAAAGUAAUUUCAAAUAGAUGGAUCAUAUACAGCCAGUUGGAUCAACAUACAGAAGUCUAAAACUAUCUCUUCCUACACCAGAAAAACAUGAAAAACGGAUAACUUUUCUAAACCUGAAGCAUACCAGUCUUUUUUUUAAAGACUCUUGGUUUUAUUUAGAUACAUGUAUUUGUGUAGGAAGUCCUUUCAAGGGUGAAUUGUUGUUGGAUCAACAUACAGAAGUCUAAAACUAUCUCUUCCCACCCCCACACCAGAAAAACAUGAAAAACGGAUAACUUUUCUAAACCUGAAGCAUACCAGUCUUUUUUUUUAAAGACUCUUGGUUUUAUUUAGAUACAUGUAUUUGUGUAGGAAGUCCUUUCAAGGGUGAAUUGUUGGUCAGAAUUCUUUAUACUUUAGCAAGACACUGACAGUGAGUGGUAAUGAAUACCAUAUUUAGCAUUAAACGUUAUGGGAAAGAGUUUUGUUGAUUGUUUUAUAUAAAAAACAAUUUUCCUUUAGAAAGUCACAGAAUCAGCUGAUGUUCUUUUGACUGUUUGUACAUACUUCUUGAACUAGAAUGAGGACAAUUUUCAUCUAGCAUCCUGCAAGUUUUCCAUCACUAAAACUGAACCAUCAACUAGAUGUCUUGACUAUCGGUCAAUGGACGAUUUCAACCAUUUACAAAUGAUGUUGUUGUUGAUGGUCUAUGUGGGAGGUCACCUCACAAAGAAAGAUGAGCUUUUAAUUCUGAAUAACAAAUUUCUAAUCGUGUUCAAAACAUGUCGAUGACCUGAAAAAAAACAUAACCAAACAAUCAAGAAGGAAAUGUUUUAUUUAACGACGCACUCAUCACAUUUUAUUUACGGUUAUAUGGCAUCGGACAUAUGGUUAAGGACCACACAGAUAUUGAGGGAAAAAACCUGCUGCCGCCAUUUCAUGGGCUACUCUUUUCAAUUAGCAACAAGGGAUCUUUUAUACUGUAAACCGUAUUAAUAUUGUGGUUUUUUCGCGAAUGUAUACCUUAGCGCAUGUUCGCGACGUGCAAAUUUCGCAAACGACCGUUGACAGCUAAAAAAAAAAGUGGAUAAAGACAGCUCACUGUAAUUGUUAUAAAGUUACUGUGUGUAAAUCAAUAUUCUGUUAUCCUACAUCAAGAA